Molecule: transfer RNA, 74 nt
Organism: Pseudomassariella vexata
Lineage: Eukaryota; Fungi; Ascomycota; Sordariomycetes; Amphisphaeriales; Pseudomassariaceae
Rfam family: tRNA
About the family: Transfer RNA (tRNA) molecules are approximately 80 nucleotides in length. Their secondary structure includes four short double-helical elements and three loops (D, anti-codon, and T loops).
Source: Rfam
UUUCCUUUGGCGCAAUUGGAUAGCGCGUCAGACUGUUAAUCUGAAGGUUGUAAGUUCGAGCCUUACAGGGAAAG